Molecule: ribosomal RNA, 279 nt
Filed under: uncultured bacterium
Lineage: Bacteria
Description: partial 16S ribosomal RNA
Rfam family: Bacterial small subunit ribosomal RNA
Source: RNAcentral
UGCCAGCAGCCGCGGUAAUACGGAGGGUGCAAGCGUUGUUCGGAAUCACUGGGCGUAAAGCGCGUGUAGGCGGUUUGGCAAGUCUGGUGUGAAAGCCCGGGGCUCAACCCCGGAAGGGCACUGGAAACUACCAAGCUAGAGUACCGGAGAGGAGGGUGGAAUUCCUGGUGUAGCGGUGAAAUGCGUAGAUAUCAGGAGGAACACCGGUGGCGAAGGCGGCCCUCUGGACGGCUACUGACGCUGAGACGCGAAAGCGUGGGGAGCAAACAGGAUUAGAUA